CUCCAGCUGCCUAGUCUACUGACAAUGCGCUUCCCGCUCGUGAUCCCGGGAGAAGGGGGCUGGGGUCAGCGUCGCCCGGGCGUGCGUGACUCAGGCCAGCCCGGGGGUCCCCUGGCCGCAGCUGGCCUCGCUCCCGCUUCUCCGCCCCCGUGACUCACCCCUCCCGGCUUUCCCCGCGUGUGACUCAGGCCCCUGGGGAGGGGGCUGCGGAGUCUGGGACCCCUACAGACAGUGGGGCCGAGAACCAAGUUCUGGGGACUUCGCUCUCCGCGGGGAAGGCCUCCCCCACCAGCGAGCAUCCGAGGGCCAGCGACUCCCCUUAGCAAGCCAGAGGCGCCCCCCCCAACUCCGCCUCUGAAUUGGUAGACCCCCCACCCCCACCCCUGCAAACCUCCGGGAACCCAGCCCCCAACCCCUCCUCCCAGCCCACAGGAAGUUUUGGCAGAGCCCGUCGCGGCGAUGAAACGGUUAAAGCCGUUUUCUUAUUCAUUUCAUCCAGGGGCCCAUUUUGACUCAGAGCAAGCCGGCGCCCCCCUCGAGCCUGGCCUCCUGGGGGCCUGGGUGCAUACUCCACCCCACAUGUACCAUUUUUAGAGAGGGGAGGAUGGCGCUUGGUGAGCUGGCUGGGGGUCUUGGGUAGCAUAUAGAGCUGGGUUCAAAUCCUGUCUCUGCCCUCAUUGCUGCCUGGACCUCAGUUUCCCCAUCUGAAAAUGAGGGAUCAUUAUGUCCAGCUUGUUGGGUUGUUGUGGGGAUUAGGUGAAUAAUAGAUGGGAAACUCUGCAUCCAGGGUUGAGCACGGGAGCCAGAAGAGGGCUCCUCCUGUUUCUCAGGCCUGGGUGUCAGGGUGCCCAGCAGAA
This 857-nucleotide long non-coding RNA is filed under the name Homo sapiens (human). RNAcentral describes it as "HSALNT0396174". Lineage: Eukaryota; Metazoa; Chordata; Mammalia; Primates; Hominidae. The record is from RNAcentral.